This is a long non-coding RNA of Phasianus colchicus (ring-necked pheasant), 3110 nucleotides long. RefSeq lists it as uncharacterized. NCBI's taxonomy places the organism in Eukaryota, Metazoa, Chordata, Aves, Galliformes, Phasianidae. The record is from RefSeq and is a predicted model, not a curated record.
AUUUUCACUGCUUCAGCUUGCCCAAGAGAUAGACUCUCCAUAAAUACAUUAUGCUAUGUUCUGUUUGAAGAAUUUGGCAAAAUGGAGAAGAGAUUCACUUGAAAAAUGACACAUGAGGUAAAGGAAUCCCUCAGGGAAGAGGGUCCUGUAAAAUUCUUAAAGCCAGUUAAAUUAUGAAGAAAAAGGAUUGGAAUCAUACAAAGUUGCAUUUGGACCUAUGUUCAUUCCACCAGUACUUCUUCCAUGCUGUCUGGACAAGGUCUGUUUCUCUCAAAAUGCCUCCUGAUCUCUUUUGUGCACUGAGAAGGACCACACUAGCCAUACUGCGUGACACUGGAUUUACAUCUCAGUAUCUUUAUCUACAAACUUGCCUGGCACCAUAAGCAUUGCAUUUGAGAAGAUUCUUAAGACUGUCAGCUCUCAAGGAUAUGCACAGGUCAUCAGUUUUCCAGGUGACCUUGAUUAAAAGGUGGAAUACAGCAUUUCAGCAUGAUCAUCCAUCUCAAGCAACACAUGCUGAGGAAUUCAUGAACCCAGUAACUGCUGCACAAGGAAACAUAAGCUGGCAACUUGCCUUUCUAAAGCAGACUAUAAAAUCCACUGGAUAACAACAAACAUUUUACUGGAAACUUGAACUGGUUGGAAUAUUAAGAUACCUACUUCAUUAUUUUAGCAGAACAAGCAGGAAGAGAAAAGUACUUAUCCUCCUUAGAUGUGACAUAUGUGAAAGUGAGGACAUCAGCAUGCGUAUACUUAAGUUUCCAGAAAAAGUAAUAUGCAAUUUCCUCAGAACGAAAGAGGCUGGCACGAGCCACUGACCAGAAGCACUAUGGAGCUCUUCACUUUUGUUGAGGGGAAAAAAAUAAACAAAGCCACAGACAUUUUAGGAAAAAGUUAGUUGAUCAGAUUUAGCAAGAAACGUCAUAACAGCUUUCCGUCUACCUUCCUUUCCUUUUCAGUAGGUAAAGGCUGACUGCUACCAGGGUGAUGCCAACAUGGAUUGAAAAUAUAUGAAUCCAUCCUGCUCCAAAUGCCACAAUAAGAGUACGCUCAAAUAUUUAAUACGUGAAUUCAGUUAAUUAGAACCUUGGACACCGGUUGUCACAGUGGUUGUGAACUCUGACUUAAUGUAACCUUAAAUCAUGAUCUUAAUAAGAGAUCUGGAGUUACAGGGGAUGGUUAAUAUUUGUACCUAUGGUACUAUGCUUCUGGAAUGGUUUAACUUGGUUUAGUGUUACCAUUUCAGAGUUUCAAGGAGGAUUCGUGAGAUUGAAGUGUGGCUUACACCAACACAGUGUGCCAUGGCUGAGCUGUGAAUCGUCGUCUUUAAAUAAUAAUGCUCUCAGAGCACUUUCAAGCUCACUGAUACUUGGACUCCUGAAUUUGUCUUAUACACCAGGACUGUUCUUGUUUUGCCUUCUCUCUAAGCAGAGGAAUGAGGAUAUCAGGACUAAGCUGUUAUGUGCAGGUUGAAAAAAAAAAAUAAUAAUAAUAAUAAUUUAAAAAUGGUAGAGAAUCAAGAAAGAGGAUCAAGGAAACAAAGUAUCACACUUCUCUUCUUUAGGCCGAAAUAAAAAUGAAGUAUUAGAUAUGGGUUUUAGAAGUGCUUCACUUCACUGUUGUUAUUUUCUGUUUUGUUGAGUGGAGCCAAUCUCUUUGUUUAAAUAGAGCUUCUGGUAAUAAUGUUUGGGCAAAAAACAUGUAACCAAAACUGAAGUUACUAAUAGCUUUCUCUGGAGGGCGUUUCAUUACCUGUGAUAUUUACGUGUGGAAUGAAUCGUGUCCAAAAGACUUCUAGAUUAGAAAGUUAGGACAGAGUCCCAGUACAAAUUAAUCUAUUUUUGUGAUGGUGCUGUCGUGCGGUUCUUGCAUUAGGUGAAGGCUCUGCUCCAUAAGCAUUUACCACUUUUCAUUCUGAUUACUUUCCGUUCAGUGUAAAUGUAUGCCAUGAAGUAAAUGCUUCUCUUUUCGACUUUAAUCAAUAAGAACUGCAGGGUUUCAGCUACACCUAGUGGACAAACGCCCAGUACUGCAGCCUUUCUGGAGUCAUUCGUCACGUUAAAUUGUUCCUUCUCCGUUUCAAUAUUUAAACUGUGAUUUGAACCAAAACGCCUCCAACCACAUUUCAGCCAUUUAAACAGAGGCUUUGAAAAUUCUGUAUGAUUAUCUCUGUGUUAUCUUUAAUGUAAAGUGCUUGAUUAAAUGGUCUGGCAAGAGGAUGUUGUCUCAGAAGGUAAGAGUGAGGGAAGAGGAGCAGCAGUCCCACCAUGGGCACUGCUGGCUUCCAGUGCAGUGCAGCUGGUCCCAUUCCACAAAGCAGGACAUGGGAUGAGAUGCCUGUCAGAAGCUUCUGUUGGCCUUGUAGGGUAAAGUCACACACGAGGUGAUGUGUGGGAUCAGCUGUCACCCUCCCCUGCACAGUUGCAACCGCACGAGGUCAGCAUGCAUCCCAAAGGCAAACACACCAUCCCCUCAGAACACCUUCAUAGAAUCAUAGAAUCCUUAGAGUUGGAAUGGACCGGUGAGGGCCAUCUUGUUCAACUCACCUGCAAUGGUCAGGGAUACCACAGCUAGAUCAGGUUUCUUUCAAUGACUUGGUUUUGCCCUGAUUAAACCUAGGUGAGGAGAAGAGAAAACAUGGGGUCUGUGAUACCUCCUGGCCACUAAAGAACUACACUGUGUGAGUCCAAAUUAUUGGAUUAUAGAGGUUUUAAAAAUGGAGAAGUUGGCUUGAAGGAGGCCUAAGCACAGGCUCCAAGUCUGUGUUUUGGCUAAAACAGCUUAUAGAAUGCUGUUGGACUGGGAAUGGGACUGUUCCCCUGACAUCUAAUCCCUAAAACUUUGUAGUGACUGUAACUUUUUUUUAAAUUAUUUUUUCCUUACCACUUAGAAAUGUGUGAAUCACUCAUCUCCACACCAUGCAUAUGCCUUGUCCUUCACCUCCUUGGUGGAUCACACAAUAGCCUUAGUGCAGCCUGCAGAGAAGCAGCCCAGCACCCUACCUCAGAGCAACCCAAAUUAUCACUAUUUAGCUUCUGUACAAAACAGGUGCGUGCAGAGGCUUGGUGCAAUGAUUUGUCUUUGGAAAAUUCCAGGAAUCCACUCCUGCC